GACGAACGCUGGCGGUGUGCCUCAAACAUGCAAGUCGAGGGAGGGUUGGCGUCUGGCUUGCCAGACGUUCAACUCUACCGGCGAACGGGUGAGUAACACGUGGGCAAUCUGCCCUGAAGACGGGGACAACCUCGGGAAACCGUGGCUAAUACCCGAUACCCUCCUUGGGGGGCAUCCCCUAGGAAGGAAAGGUCCGCAAGGUCCGCUUCAGGAGGAGCCCGCGGCCUAUCAGCUUGUUGGUGGGGUCCACGGCCCACCAAGGCUAUGACGGGUAGCUGGUCUGAGAGGACGAUCAGCCACACUGGGACUGAGACACGGCCCAGACUCCUACGGGAGGCAGCAGUUGGGAA
RNAcentral lists this ribosomal RNA (350 nucleotides) under uncultured bacterium. Its description in RNAcentral is "bacterial SSU rRNA". It matches the Rfam family "Bacterial small subunit ribosomal RNA", at positions 28 to 361 of the family's 1533-position model. The record is from RNAcentral.